AAAGCUGUAGCUGAGUUGGUCAGAGCGUUCCCCUAUCGAGGGAAGGGUCGCCAGUUCAAGUCUGGUUAGC
Molecule: transfer RNA, 70 nt
Filed under: Microcoleus sp. SIO2G3
Lineage: Bacteria; Bacillati; Cyanobacteriota; Cyanophyceae; Oscillatoriales; Microcoleaceae
Description: tRNA-Asp
Source: RNAcentral